UUCCUACCCAGAGAUCCUGCUUUCUGGAGGGUUUGGCAAGCUCUGAUCCUUGGGAAAGGCCCAUUCCCCUGGUGGAAAGGCAAAAAUCACCAGUGCUUUAGUAGGAGAAAGAUAGAGCUGCUGGCCUUCAUGCAAAUAUCCUGAUUCAAAUAGAAAAAGGGAAUUCAAAGAGAAGUUCAGAAAGGAUCUGCUCUGUCAGCAGUGUUGGCUCAAGCAACCAUAUUUUUCAAGGCUCCUCAUGAAUGUGGUAUAUUAACAUACAGUUAACAUACCGACAAGUUUGUUGGAUGUAUAUGCAGUGUCCCUUCCUAUUGCACAUUGAUUUAUGUCUAAUAAACAUGACGUGCACUGAUAAAAGGUGGCAGAACCUGAAAGGAUCCUGGCUUAUCAACUGCAAACGUCUGGAGGAAUCAGAAGCUGAAUCAAAGAAUUAAAAUAUUUACAUUUUUAAAUGGGCCUGUCACAUGCAUUAAAUCACAGGCUGCAUCAGUCCCACUGCUGUUGCUAUGUUGCUCAUCACGUGUCCCAUUCGUAGGCAUUGUCAACUGGGAAAAAGAGAAGGAAGGCAAGUAGGAAGGCUGGUGCAAUGAAUUGCUGUGUGUGCUCAGGGGGUGGCAAUAGCUGAAGCUUGGCGCAUUUUGCUCCCUUUGCAGAAGUACAGUAUUCAUGGAUGUGGAUGUCAUGCAAGAUGGGCCACCUGAAUCCCAGCUAUUCUCACCUUUACAGCACUGCUGUGUCAAUACAAGCAGUCUGUGUGCCAGCAUCUCUCAAUGCGCAGUGGUCAGAGGCAUACCAGAAUGGUACUGCAGUGCACUGGUAUGGUGCUCCCUGUUAAUCCACCUAGCAAGCACCUGAAAAGACUUAACUACAUGUACCACGCAGGCACCCUGCUGAGACAGUGGGAAUAGGCACAGACCUGUAAUUACCAAGUAAAGACAAUGAAAUCACACGUACUCCCACCACCUGCAGCUCUAAAUGAGGAAAAGUGUUAGUUACACUGUUGUACUUCUAUGGAGUCUCAGGAGAAAAAACAGAGGGCGUAAUGAGCUACUAGACGUGUGAUAAGCUUAUAAGAGGCAGAAUUAAAGUGCAUUCACAAUUUACCCCAAUCUAGUGCUCUGCAAGGAGGGGCUCAGAGGGAAGCGCAAUUAAAUUUUUGCGCCUUCCCUUUAAUUUGGGGAAAUGAAGAGCAUGCCUGAAAGAACAAUUCUGCGUUGUUUCACGGACCUCAGCCCUUUGCCACCCCCAAAUGGAGAGGUACGACAUGAUGAGAGCAAAGCUGCAUGCUGCUUGCACUGGGAACUAUUGCCAUGAUGUUGGAGGGGGCCCGAGUCUGGGUGGCUUGGGCUGAUUUCUGCUUGCUGUUUCCCUUAAGUGUAAAGGCAGAGCUCACAGGAUGGAUAGGACAGCUGCUGUUUGAAGGAGAUCUAUGGAGAAUUUAACUUUAUUCUUACGUGGACUUAGGAAAUCUUAAGAAUAUGAAAACAAUGUUAAAACACGUUCCCAGAAGUUCCUCUGUAAAAAGUUUUCCUAGUCGGAUAGCUGUUUCUUUUCCCCAUGUUUUUUAAUACUCUGUUUUCACUACUUGUACAGGAGUAUUCAUUCUGAAUGCUACCUGUUUGAUUGUUAUUACUUUGGUGUUAUGUGGCUGGGAGGUGAAAGUGUUUGGUCAGCUCUUUUAGGGGGAAGUUUUUUCUUAAGAGGAUGUGGUCAUGG
This is a long non-coding RNA of Gallus gallus (chicken), 1716 nucleotides long. Lineage: Eukaryota; Metazoa; Chordata; Aves; Galliformes; Phasianidae. The record is from Ensembl.